Molecule: long non-coding RNA, 692 nt
Organism: Manacus vitellinus (golden-collared manakin)
Lineage: Eukaryota; Metazoa; Chordata; Aves; Passeriformes; Pipridae
Exons: 3
Source: RefSeq, a predicted model, not a curated record
UAUGUCCCAGGAGAGUACAAGAACUGCCCAUAAUACUAUGGCUGGUGUGGCUGGUACACAUCUCAUUUGUGUGCAAUUGGGGCAGUACCAGUAAGGCUGCACAAGAGCUGAGAAGGGCUCAUGGAUGCCACAGAAGACUACUCUGAUAAAGAUGCAUGCUUGUGAUAAUGGAGAAACUGGAUAGACAGAAAAAGCUGGCAGCAUCUUCCUCAGUUCAUGUGGAACAUACUGGAACAAAGAUAUCCAAGAACACUGAAGACUAACAGGCAAGGAUAUGGGCUUCCUGAAGGGACUUAUGCCUUUGCUGAUGCUCCUCUUCUAAUUCCUGGAUCUCCUGAGUCAGCCUCUGUCGCUCCUGACUGAACUGGGCUUGUAGCUGUUGUAAAGAGCUCUGUGACUGGGAAAGCUGCAUCUCCAGAUUCUGCUUCAGUAAGGAGAUCUAAUCCACAAGAGAACAGCAAAUAUCUGUUAGUCAUUAAUACUAAAAUCAACUGUAAAGAAAAUAUUCAAAGAAGACAACACUUGAAAUUUUAAAGCCAUUGUUAGCUGAAAGACAGACAAGCAAUGUCAUCCAUGUAUGAAUUUGCUGUUAAUAUUAUAUGUCAGAGAUAUAAUAACUACAUUUUAAUGAUUUUGUAAGGAUUAUCACAUUGGUUAGUUUACACUACAGCACUGCCUGUAACACAAUUUUU